CGCGACCCCAGGUCAGGCGGGGUUACCCGCUGAAUUUA
Molecule: ribosomal RNA, 38 nt
Filed under: Cliffortia denticulata
Lineage: Eukaryota; Viridiplantae; Streptophyta; Magnoliopsida; Rosales; Rosaceae
Description: partial 26S ribosomal RNA
Source: RNAcentral